GAUGUACGGUAUAGUGGAGGUGACAGGAUGUACGGUAUAGUGGAGGUGACAGGAUGUACGGUAUAGUGGAGGUGACAGGAUGUAUGGUAUAGUGGAGGUGACAGGAUGUACGGUAUAGUGGAGGUGACAGGAUGUAUGGUAUAGUGGAGGUGACAGGAUGUAUGGUAUAGUGGAGGUGACAGGAUGUAUGGUAUAGUGGAGGUGACAGGAUGUACGGUAUAGUGGAGGUGACAGGAUGUAUGGUAUAGUGGAGGUGACAGGAUGUAUGGUAUAGUGGAGGUGACAGGAUGUAUGGUAUAGUGGAGGUGACAGGAUGUAUGGUAUAGUGGAGGUGACAGGAUGUAUGGUAUAGUGGAGGUGACAGGAUGUAUGGUAUAGUGGAGGUGACAGGAUGUAUGGUAUAGUGGAGGUGACAGGAUGUAUGGUAUAGUGGAGGUGACAGGAUGUACGGUAUAGUGGAGGUGACAGGAUGUACGGUAUAGUGGAGGUGACAGGAUGUACGGUAUAGUGGAGGUGACAGGAUGUACGGUAUAGUGGAGGUGACAGGAUGUAUGGUAUAGUGGAGGUGACAGGAUGUAUGGUAUAGUGGAGGUGACAGGAUGUAUGGUAUAGUGGAGGUGACAGGAUGUAUGGUAUAGUGGAGGUGACAGGAUGUAUGGUAUAGUGGAGGUGACAGGAUGUAUGGUAUAGUGGAGGUGACAGGAUGUAUGGUAUAGUGGAGGUGACAGGAUGUAUGGUAUAGUGGAGGUGACAGGAUGUAUGGUAUAGUGGAGGUGACAGGAUGUAUGGUAUAGUGGAGGUGACAGUAUGUAUGGUAUAGUGGAGGUGACAGGAUGUAUGGUAUAGUGGAGGUGACAGUAUGUAUGGUAUAGUGGAGGUGACAGGAUGUACGGUAUAGUGGAGGUGACAGGAUGUACGGUAUAGUGGAGGUGACAGGAUGUACGGUAUAGUGGAGGUGACAGGAUGUAU
Molecule: long non-coding RNA, 969 nt
Organism: Oncorhynchus keta (chum salmon)
Lineage: Eukaryota; Metazoa; Chordata; Actinopteri; Salmoniformes; Salmonidae
Exons: 6
Source: RefSeq, a predicted model, not a curated record